CAGUCGCCGCGGGAAUACGUAGGUGGCAAGCGUUGUCCGGAAUUAUUGGGCGUAAAGGGCUCGCAGGCGGUUUCUUAAGUCUGAUGUGAAAGCCCCCGGCUCAACCCUGGAAGUGCAUUUGAUACUGCGAAGCUUGAGUGCUGGAGAGGUUACUGGAAUACCUGGUGUAGUGGUGAAAUACGUAGAUAUCAGGUGGAACACCGGAGGCGAAGGCGGGUAACUGGCCAGGCACUGACACUCAGACCCGAAAGCGUGGGGACCAAACAGGAUUAGAUACCCCAGUAGUCCCUGUCUCUUAUAC
This 301-nucleotide ribosomal RNA is filed under the name uncultured bacterium. RNAcentral describes it as "partial 16S ribosomal RNA". It matches the Rfam family "Bacterial small subunit ribosomal RNA", at positions 509 to 807 of the family's 1533-position model. The record is from RNAcentral.